RNAcentral lists this long non-coding RNA (1004 nucleotides) under Calidris pygmaea (Spoon-billed sandpiper). RNAcentral describes it as "lncRNA (ENSCPGG00000019514.1)". The record is from RNAcentral. Lineage: Eukaryota; Metazoa; Chordata; Aves; Charadriiformes; Scolopacidae.
AGGGCUCCCCAAAGCCAGGGGAGCGUGAACGACAGAGGUUUAAAGCAAACGGGGGGGAGGCUUGCGGACUUGAGGGGGGGGUAACAUCGCUCCUUCAGACAGAGGCAGCUCAACCUUCCUUCCCGAGAGGGCGGCGUUUUUUAAAUCGUGCAUUAAAAUUCCUUUAAAGGGGGUGGGGGGGUGGGAAGGGAGGGGGUCUCCCCUCGGCGAGGGGCGGUCGGCAGAGGUGAGUGCGCGGAAGGGGCGCGGGCGGGCGGCAGCGGGGCGGCUAAGCAAAUUGCGUAGCGGGGCUUCGGUGGGCUUCCAUGCUCCAGCACAGCAAUUGCGCACGGUCCCUUACGUAACUGUCAGCUGGGGAUUCCCUAGAGGGGGGUCACUUUAUUCAACCAUUACACAGACCCCGGCCGCCGCUCCGCCGCGCCGGGCCCGCCGCUGCCGCCGCCACUGGCUGAGGGCUGCGGCUCGGCAGCUUCAGCGCAGCGGCUCCUCACAAAAUGGCGGCGCCCAUGGAAAACGGCAGCCCCAUUUUGUGCCCGGCAGAGCCUUGUCAACAAAACGCCGACUUGGCCAAGGCUGAGGAACAGAAGGCGGCGGCUCGUUCGCGUUGCGGAGAGGGAGGAGAGCGAAAGGAUUUCACCGCCCUCCCGCCGCCGAGAGGAGACUUUCUAUCAAGUUGCGUGCCUUAUGAAUAAACCGGCUAUUAGGCUGAGGCUUCAAGUAACACUAUCCAGCACCAAGGUUUUUGUGAUUGUCAUUUCUACCACAGUCCAUUGGCUGGGUCUCUGCAAUCCCUUGGCAGAGCAUGGGGGAACAAAGAGGGUGAUGCCAUCCAAAUGUUCUCUCCCUGCGAUCGUGGUUAAUAAAGCUCCUGUUUGACCUGUCCUAAAUUGUACUUGUGUUAUUACGCACUUGGAUUCCCCAAUCUCUGACACCAACGUGCAACUACAAAAUUGGAUGGUCACAAGGUCCUUAUGAUAGGAUAGCAAGAAAGUCAGUUGCAUAUU